This 445-nucleotide ribosomal RNA is filed under the name uncultured bacterium. Its description in RNAcentral is "partial 16S ribosomal RNA". It matches the Rfam family "Bacterial small subunit ribosomal RNA", at positions 354 to 796 of the family's 1533-position model. The record is from RNAcentral.
GUGAGGAAUAUUGCGCAAUGGAGGCAACUCUGACGCAGCCAUGCCGCGUGCAGGAAGAAGGCGCUACGCGUUGUAAACUGCUUUUAACCGGGAAGAAACCCCAGGACGUGUCCUGGGUUGACGGUACCGGAGGAAUAAGCACCGGCUAACUUCGUGCCAGCAGCCGCGGUAAUACGAAGGGUGCAAGCGUUAUCCGGCUUCAUUGGGUUUAAAGGGUGCGUAGGCGGAGCGUUAAGUCAGUGGUGAAAUCCUGCAGCUUAACUGUAGACUUGCCAUUGGUACUGGAGCUCUUGAGUGCGCUUGAAGUGGGCGGAAUGUGCCGUGUAGCGGUGAAAUGCUUAGAUAUGGCACAGAACACCAAUUGCGAAGGCAGCUCACUAAGGCGAUACUGACGCUGAGGCACGAAAGCGUGGGGAUCGAACAGGAUUAGAUACCCGGGUAGUCC